GGGCGGGCACCACAGUGCCUGGUGCAGCCUCUCCUCUGUGCCAGGCAUUCUUCCGGGGGUGUGUGCAAGUGGACACAUAUUCCCGGCCCAAACAGGAUCCCGGGGCCUGGAUCGUUUGCCCAAAACAGUGGUUGCCACAGGAACGAGAAAGCUGGGGGGCCCGGUCUGGCCUUGGGCAGGUGUCUGGACCUUUCUGCCAAUCCCUCCUCAUUCAGGGAGGAAGCUGGAGGUCUGUGGAGGAUUUUGGGGUACAAUUUGAAAUGCAAUGAAGGCAGGGCUGCAGCUGGGAAGCUGCUCAGCCUGCAGGCAGCCCCCAGCCUGUCUGUCCCAGCCUCGCCAGGCCUGUCUCACGGCAGGGCUGCAGCCAAACCUUUAUUGGUUAAAUAGCACAUGUGGCCAAGUUUACUGGAGAAAAACAACAGCCAGGAAUGAAGACGGCUUUUCGGGCUGUUUUCCACUUUUCCUCCAAGCAGCUGAAGGUGCUCCUAGGGGCUGGAGCAUCGCGGACGCUGCGACCAGGCCCUGACCGGAGAUGAGGAGACCGAGGCUCAGAGAAGCAAGUCACCUACCCCGGCUCAGAGCGCACAGCUGGAGCGAGCGUCAUGAAGCAGUGUUCUCCACGGUCCCCACCCAGCCCCACGUGGGCCUGUGUGAGGAAUGUCGUCCUCAGGCCCCAGACCUCCCGGAUCCGACCUGCAGGGAUCCCGAGGCCUCGCCCGCACAAGGCGCCUGAGCCCCGCCUUCUUGGCCACGGCCAGGCCUCAGUUCCUCCCUCUGCCUGAUCAGGCAAGAUGACAGCGGACGGGAGCUUCUGGGCUCUUUCUGCGGCAGGUUCGCGCUGGGCACACACGACUGCGGCUGCUGUGGGGGUAGCUUGUUGCCUCCAUUUUACAGAUGAGGGAACUGAGGCCGAGGACUCUGCUCCAGGCGACAUUCCCUGGCCUCCGUCCGUCCAUCUGGCCCCUGCCCUCUGUUCCCACCUGAACCCCCGGUCCCCGUUCCUCCUCGGCAGGUGGAUGCCUGUCCCCACAGGUCACUCUCUCUGCACAAACUUCCUUCCUGCCUCUAACCAGCCCUUAAGGACAAGAGCCCCGGCCUCACGGGUCAGGAAUGUGACGACUUUCUCCAGCAGCUGCUUCCCAGCCUCAGCCGCAGUCUGG
RNAcentral lists this long non-coding RNA (1160 nucleotides) under Equus caballus (horse). RNAcentral's name for it is "lncRNA (ENSECAG00000043909.1)". Lineage: Eukaryota; Metazoa; Chordata; Mammalia; Perissodactyla; Equidae. The record is from RNAcentral.